This 252-nucleotide ribosomal RNA is filed under the name uncultured bacterium. Its description in RNAcentral is "partial 16S ribosomal RNA". It matches the Rfam family "Bacterial small subunit ribosomal RNA", at positions 524 to 776 of the family's 1533-position model. The record is from RNAcentral.
UACGGAGGAUGCGAGCGUUAUCCGGAUUUAUUGGGUUUAAAGGGUGCGUAGGCGGGAUGCCAAGUCAGCGGUGAAAAUGCGGUGCUCAACGCCGUCGAGCCGUUGAAACUGGCGUUCUUGAGUGGGCGAGAAGUAUGCAGAAUGCGUGGUGUAGCGGUGAAAUGCAUAGAUAUCACGCAGAACUCCGAUUGCGAAGGCAGCAUACCGGCGCCCUACUGACGCUGAGGCACGAAAGCGUGGGUAUCGAACAGG